UAAACUCAGAUGUAUCUUCUCCUUGUUGCCUCCUGCUCGUAUUGGGUAGAAUGAAAUUUAAUAAGUUUGUGAUAGAUCACAGUUCAUAAAAUUUUUCCUUAUUUUUCAUGUAUCUCUGGCUUUUCUACUUCUGGCUGGAACCAAGGACAAAAAUCCCUUCCCCUGAGUCUAAUCUUGGAGUCCCAUGUUCAAGUGAACUGUUCAUUCAGGUCAAAGGGACUUCAGUCAGAAACGGAGACAGUCAUCAGAGAUCUCUGUUAGCCUUUCUUUUAAGAUAGUGUCUGGAAUCUGUGUCCAUGGGACACUGGGAGCAGCUUCACCUACCUCAUCCCAGGAGCCAAGGGUAAAGCAGUUUCAAUAUUGUUGAUUUAUGUUUAUAUACAUUAUAAAGAUGAAAAUGGGAUAAUCGUAAGGUCAUGUAUAAAAUGGAGAAUUCCUUUCCUCUUUUCUGUAUGUGUCCUCCACCAGGAGCUGGGAAAUAUGUAAAGCUCUUUCCCAUAGAAAGGGGCAUUUCUGCUACUUCUGCAAGGUGGCCCUUCUCUCGUUCCCUUUACGUAAGCUGAGCUUAGUGCACUAUUGUUCUUUCUUGUUGUGGUGGUGUCUCCUGUGUGUAUCUCUAGAAACAGAGGCCAAGGAAAAUGUCCCAGGCAAGAGCAAAGUUGAGACUUGGGCUUCUCUGUUUAAGAAGCCAAAACCUCUGUCAACUGUAGAGGGACAGCAAAUUCACUUUUCAUCCCCCACCACGAAAAAUGUAAAAGAGAAAUGCAUUUUUCAUUCUUUAGAUAGAAGAAGCCAUGGAAGAGGAUAAUAGGGCCUUGAAGAGAUCCUGCAGAAUUUGGUUUAGGAGUGAACAUGACUACGUGGGAAGAAGAAGAGGGAAGAUUCACGCCCAGAAAACUUGAUUCUUACCUCGUACCAGUUUUAUGUCGUGUUACUUCGUUGAACAUGCUGGGAUUGAGAUCGGCUGUACGAACAGGUACAGGAAGGUGCCAUGCUAUGAGACGACCUCUGAAAUGGAGCCAGCAGGGUCAAGAGGAAGAGGAGUGACCCUCAAACCUUGAAUUGCUAGGUAGGAUCUGAAAACGGAGCCUUGUAUGCUCUUUUUUUGGCGGGUGCCAACUCGUCUUGCUGCAGUUGGAUAACGUUCAUUUGGAAAAGGCGCCUGAAAAAUUGAAGCUGCCAGAGGCGACUCUAAAGAGCGUAUGAUGGAAACAAAUUGAGUCACCACCAAUGUGGCUAACAUUGUUGGUGGAAACUGGGGCACCCGCAUGAGCCAUUGUUCGUUGUACCUCGUCUGGUUUAUGUAGCUCGCUGAGUUGAAAGCUGGAUCUGCAUUAACCUUGUGAUUCGAGAGGGAUUCAUGCAAUGUGGUUUCAAUUGUCUAUGGAUGCUUUCAGUCCGUACUGCGCGCUGCCAGUAACGAUGGGUCCUACUGGUCUCCCGCAUUCAUGGUGGUGUCUACAGCUCGCCCUGAUGAAGCUGUGGUGAGGACUGUUUCCUGAUGUGGUCACUUUUAGUGGGCUGCUGCUCUGCAAGUCUGCUAGGAGAGGAGUUUUUAUUCACUCUUCCCUCUGCCCCGAUAACAGCUGCUGCAUAGAAGUUUUCCCUGAAUACAUUUUGCUGUGGAAAAGAGCUAUUUUUUUUU
RNAcentral lists this long non-coding RNA (1645 nucleotides) under Calidris pugnax (ruff). Its description in RNAcentral is "lncRNA (ENSCPUG00000007953.1)". The record is from RNAcentral. Lineage: Eukaryota; Metazoa; Chordata; Aves; Charadriiformes; Scolopacidae.